Molecule: ribosomal RNA, 445 nt
Filed under: uncultured bacterium
Lineage: Bacteria
Description: partial 16S ribosomal RNA
Rfam family: Bacterial small subunit ribosomal RNA
Source: RNAcentral
GUGAGGAAUAUUGGUCAAUGGGCGAGAGCCUGAACCAGCCAAGUCGCGUGAAGGAAGAAGGAUCUAUGGUUCGUAAACUUCUUUUGCAGGGGAAUAAAGUGCGGGACGUGUCCUGUUUUGUAUGUACCCUGAGAAUAAGGAUCGGCUAACUCCGUGCCAGCAGCCGCGGUAAUACGGAGGAUCCGAGCGUUAUCCGGAUUUAUUGGGUUUAAAGGGUGCGUAGGUGGUUUGAUAAGUCAGCGGUGAAAGUUUGCAGCUUAACUGUAAAAAUGCCGUUGAAACUGUCGGACUUGAGUGUAAAUGAGGUAGGCAGAAUGCGUGGUGUAGCGGUGAAAUGCAUAGAUAUCACGCAGAACUCCGAUUGCGAAGGCAGCUUACUAAGCUACAACUGACACUGAAGCACGAAAGCGUGGGGAUCAAACAGGAUUAGAAACCCGAGUAGUCC